This 305-nucleotide ribosomal RNA is filed under the name uncultured bacterium. Its description in RNAcentral is "bacterial SSU rRNA". It matches the Rfam family "Bacterial small subunit ribosomal RNA", at positions 333 to 653 of the family's 1533-position model. The record is from RNAcentral.
CUUGUCCUACGGGACGCAGCAGUGGGGAUUAUUGCACAAUGGGGGAAACCCUGAUGCAGCGACGCCGCGUGAAGGAAGAAGUAUCUCGGUAUGUAAACUUCUAUCAGCAGGGAAGAAAACAGACGGUACCUGACUAAGAAGCCCCGGCUAACUACGUGCCAGCAGCCGCGGUAAUACGUAGGGGGCAAGCGUUAUCCGGAUUUACUGGGUGUAAAGGGGGCGCAGACGGCCAUGGCAAGCCCGGUGUGGAAGGCAGGGGCAUAACCCCUGGACUGCACUGGGAACUGUCAGGCUGGAGUGGCGGG